This 337-nucleotide unclassified non-coding RNA is filed under the name Penaeus monodon (black tiger shrimp). RNAcentral's name for it is "pOU domain, class 3, transcription factor 2-like, transcript variant X1". The record is from RNAcentral. Lineage: Eukaryota; Metazoa; Arthropoda; Malacostraca; Decapoda; Penaeidae.
AACUACAGAGGUGAUGAGGAAUAUUACUAUGAAGACUACCACCCACGUUCUCACCGUGAACGAAAGGAUGAUUGGAGCAACAGCUGCGAGGGAGACUGGAACAGCCAAGGAGGUGGAGGGAAUAGCAACAACGCCAGCAGCAACCAGAACACAACAGUGGCUCUGCUCAACCCAACAACCGGGAGGAGAGCGGCGAUGGUGUUGUGAUUGUAGAUGACCAGCCACAGGUUUCUGAACUCAUCGGUGAUAUUCUUGAUUCCAAUGAUGGCUUUCAGCAAGUCACAAGACGUAAGUCUGGCAAGGAAAAGGGCAAGCCAUUGCCUGAAGAAACCAUCUC